UGAGUCGGCUGGGUGACCGCAGUUCGUCUCGCCUUCAGAGAUGAGGCAAAUUGAGGAAGGUCGGGACUCCGCAGGGCAGGGCGCUGGCAGAUAACCAGGCGUCGCGAGACGACGGAAAGUGCAGCAGAGAAUAGACCGCCGAUGGACUAGUUCCGCUAGUCACAGGCAAGGCUGAAACGGUGCGGUAAGAGCGCACCAGCGUGCA
This 205-nucleotide RNase P RNA is filed under the name Acidimicrobiaceae bacterium. RNAcentral describes it as "partial RNase P RNA component class A". It matches the Rfam family "Bacterial RNase P class A", at positions 1 to 186 of the family's 367-position model. Rfam says of the family: Ribonuclease P (RNase P) is a ubiquitous endoribonuclease, found in archaea, bacteria and eukarya as well as chloroplasts and mitochondria. Its best characterised activity is the generation of mature 5'-ends of tRNAs by cleaving the 5'-leader elements of precursor-tRNAs. The record is from RNAcentral. Lineage: Bacteria; Bacillati; Actinomycetota; Acidimicrobiia; Acidimicrobiales; Acidimicrobiaceae.